RNAcentral lists this ribosomal RNA (406 nucleotides) under uncultured bacterium. RNAcentral's name for it is "partial 16S ribosomal RNA". It matches the Rfam family "Bacterial small subunit ribosomal RNA", at positions 30 to 526 of the family's 1533-position model. The record is from RNAcentral.
AUUGAACGCUGGCGGCAGGCCUAACACAUGCAAGUCGAACGAGUGGCGGACGGGUGAGUAAUGUCUGGGAAACUGCCUGAUGGAGGGGGAUAACUACUGGAAACGGUAGCUAAUACCGCAUACCAUCGGAUGUGCCCAGAUGGGCUUAGCUAGUAGGUGGGGUAAAGGCUCACCUAGGCGACGAUCCCUAGCUGGUCUGAGAGGAUGACCAGCCAGACUGGGACUGAGACACGGUCCAGACUCCUACGGGAGGCAGCAGUGGGGAAUAUUGCACAAGGGGCGCAAGCCUGAUGCAGCCAUGCCGCGUGUAUGAAGAAGGCCUUCGGGUUGUAAAGUACUUUCAGCGAGGAGGCGUUACUCGCAGAAGAAGCACCGGCUAACUCCGUGCCAGCAGCCGCGGUAAUUC